UAAACUCAAAAACCGAACCAA
RNAcentral lists this non-coding RNA (21 nucleotides) under Caenorhabditis elegans. Lineage: Eukaryota; Metazoa; Nematoda; Chromadorea; Rhabditida; Rhabditidae. The record is from RNAcentral.